GUAUUAAUACAUAUCUGAGUUAAUUAAUAAGUAAAAAGUGAUUUCAUAUAAUACAGAAUAGAUUAUGUGGUUCCAGUAGUAACAGACAGACAAAGUGAGUUACAAAGCAAAG
This is a non-coding RNA of Chelonoidis abingdonii (Abingdon island giant tortoise), 112 nucleotides long. Lineage: Eukaryota; Metazoa; Chordata; Testudines; Testudinidae. The record is from RefSeq and is a predicted model, not a curated record.